Molecule: ribosomal RNA, 357 nt
Filed under: Triticum aestivum (bread wheat)
Lineage: Eukaryota; Viridiplantae; Streptophyta; Magnoliopsida; Poales; Poaceae
Description: partial small subunit ribosomal RNA
Source: RNAcentral
AUGACUCAACCCAAGAGGGCAGGUGGUAUUGGAUUUAGGGAUAUACACAUGUUCAACAUUGCGUUGCUCGCGAAACAAGGUUCGAGACUAUUACAGAACCCGAACAGCUUGUGUGCUAGAGUACUGAAGUAGAAAUAUUACCCGCACGGAAAUCUUCUGGACAUGGUGUUUGCCUCCGAUUCGUCACCGGUUUGGCGAGGAGUUGAAGCUGGUUUGGAGCUCUUGAAGAAAGGAAUAAUUUGGCGGGUGGGAGAUGGCACAAACAUCCAGAUCCAAAGAGAUCAAUGGAUCCCUCAUAAGGAAGGCCUAAGGACUGCAACUUUCAUUAGGAGGUCCACAUUGCGUUGGGUGAACUAG